GUUGUUGGGUAGGGGAGCGUUCUGUAAGCCUGCGAAGGUGGACUGUGAGGUCUGCUGGAGGUAUCAGAAGUGCGAAUGCUGACAUAAGUAACGAUAAAGCGGGUGAAAAGCCCGCUCGCCGGAAGACCAAGGGUUCCUGUCCAACGUUAAUCGGGGCAGGGUGAGUCGACCCCUAAGGCGAGGCCGAAAGGCGUAGUCGAUGGGAAACGGGUUAAUAUUCCCGUACUUGGUGUUACUGCGAAGGGGGGACGAAGAAGGCUAGGCCGGCCGGGUGACGGUUAUCCCGGUUUAAGCGUGUAGGUGGGUGGUCUUGGUAAAUCCGGACCGCUAUUAACACUGAGGCGUGAUGACGAGUCUCUACGGAGAUGAAGUGGUUGAUGCCCUGCUUCCAGGAAAAGCCUCUAAGCAUCAGGUAACAUUAAAUCGUACCCCAAACCGACACAGGUGGUCAGGUAGAGAAUACUCAGGCGCUUGGGAGAACUCGGGUGAAGGAACUAGGCAAAAUGGUGCCGUAACUUCGGGAGAAGGCACGCUGGCAGUAGGUGAAGUGGCUUGCCCAUGGAGCCGAAGCCAGUCGAAGAUACCAGCUGGCUGCAACUGUUUAUUAAAAACACAGCACUGUGCAAACACGAAAGUGGACGUAUACGGUGUGACGCCUGCCCGGUGCUGGAAGGUUAAUUGAUGGGGUUAGCGUAAGCGAAGCUCUUGAUCGAAGCCCCAGUAAACGGCGGCCGUAACUAUAACGGUCCUAAGGUAGCGAAAUUCCUUGUCGGGUAAGUUCCGACCUGCACGAAUGGCGUAAUGAUGGCCAGGCUGUCUCCACCCGAGACCCAGUGAAAUUGAACUCGCAGUGAAGAUGCUGUGUACCCGCGGCAAGACGGAAAGACCCCGUGAACCUUUACUAUAGCUUGACACGGAACAUUGAACCUUGAUGUGUAGGAUAGGUGGGAGGCUUUGAAGUGUGGACGCCAGUCUGCAUGGAGCCAACCUUGAAAUACCACCCUUUAAUGUUUGAUGUUCUAACUCGACCUGCUGAAUCGUGGGUGAGGACAGUGUCUGGUGGGUAGUUUGACUGGGGCGGUCUCCUCCCAAAGAGUAACGGAGGAGCACGAAGGUUGGCUAAUCCUGGUCGGACAUCAGGAGGUUAGUGCAAAGGCAUAAGCCAGCUUGACUGCGAGAGUGACGGCUCGAGCAGGUACGAAAGUAGGUCUUAGUGAUCCGGUGGUUCUGAAUGGAAGGGCCAUCGCUCAACGGAUAAAAGGUACUCCGGGGAUAACAGGCUGAUACCGCCCAAGAGUUCAUAUCGACGGCGGUGUUUGGCACCUCGAUGUCGGCUCAUCACAUCCUGGGGCUGAAGUAGGUCCCAAGGGUACGGCUGUUCGCCGUUUAAAGUGGUACGCGAGCUGGGUUUAGAACGUCGUGAGACAGUUCGGUCCCUAUCUGCCGUGGGCGCUGGAAGAUUGAGGGGGGUUGCUCCUAGUACGAGAGGACCGGAGUGAACGCACCGCUGGUGUACGGGUUGUGAUGCCAAUUGCAUUGCCCGGUAGCUACGUGCGGAAAAGAUAAGCGCUGAAAGCAUCUAAGCGCGAAACUUGCCCCAAGAUGAGUCUUCCCUGGAGCUUUGAGCUCCCUAAAGGAACGUUAAAGACGAUGACGUAGAUAGGCUGGGUGUGUAAGUGCAGCGAUGUAUUGAGCUAACCAGUACUAAUGAACCGUGAGGCUUAACCUU
RNAcentral lists this non-coding RNA (1729 nucleotides) under Leminorella grimontii ATCC 33999 = DSM 5078. Its description in RNAcentral is "bacterial LSU rRNA". It matches the Rfam family "Bacterial large subunit ribosomal RNA", at positions 1220 to 2925 of the family's 2925-position model. The record is from RNAcentral. Lineage: Bacteria; Pseudomonadati; Pseudomonadota; Gammaproteobacteria; Enterobacterales; Budviciaceae.